RNAcentral lists this transfer RNA (77 nucleotides) under Deltaproteobacteria bacterium. RNAcentral's name for it is "tRNA-Ile". It matches the Rfam family "tRNA". Rfam says of the family: Transfer RNA (tRNA) molecules are approximately 80 nucleotides in length. Their secondary structure includes four short double-helical elements and three loops (D, anti-codon, and T loops). The record is from RNAcentral. Lineage: Bacteria; Pseudomonadati; Myxococcota; Myxococcia.
GGGCCUGUAGCUCAGUUGGUUAGAGCACACCCUUGAUAAGGGUGGGGUCGGAUGUUCGAGUCAUCCCAGGCCCACCA